GAUGAACGCUGGCGGCGUGCCUAAUACAUGCAAGUCGAGCGAACGGACGAGAAGCUUGCUUCUCUGAUGUUAGCGGCGGACGGGUGAGUAACACGUGGAUAACCUACCUAUAAGACUGGGAUAACUUCGGGAAACCGGAGCUAAUACCGGAUAAUAUUUUGAACCGCAUGGUUCAAAAGUGAAAGACGGUCUUGCUGUCACUUAUAGAUGGAUCCGCGCUGCAUUAGCUAGUUGGUAAGGUAACGGCUUACCAAGGCAACGAUGCAUAGCCGACCUGAGAGGGUGAUCGGCCACACUGGAACUGAGACACGGUCCAGACUCCUACGGGAGGCAGCAGUAGGGAAUCUUCCGCAAUGGGCGAAAGCCUGACGGAGCAACGCCGCGUGAGUGAUGAAGGUCUUCGGAUCGUAAAACUCUGUUAUUAGGGAAGAACAUAUGUGUAAGUAACUGUGCACAUCUUGACGGUACCUAAUCAGAAAGCCACGGCUAACUACGUGCCAGCAGCCGCGGUAAUACGUAGGUGGCAAGCGUUAUCCGGAAUUAUUGGGCGUAAAGCGCGCGUAGGCGGUUUUUUAGUCUGAUGUGAAAGCCCACGGCUCAACCGUGGAGGGUCAUUGGAAACUGGAAAACUUGAGUGCAGAAGAGGAAAGUGGAAUUCCAUGUGUAGCGGUGAAAUGCGCAGAGAUAUGGAGGAACACCAGUGGCGAAGGCGACUUUCUGGUCUGUAACUGACGCUGAUGUGCGAAAGCGUGGGGAUCAAACAGGAUUAGAUACCCUGGUAGUCCACGCCGUAAACGAUGAGUGCUAAGUGUUAGGGGGUUUCCGCCCCUUAGUGCUGCAGCUAACGCAUUAAGCACUCCGCCUGGGGAGUACGACCGCAAGGUUGAAACUCAAAGGAAUUGACGGGGACCCGCACAAGCGGUGGAGCAUGUGGUUUAAUUCGAAGCAACGCGAAGAACCUUACCAAAUCUUGACAUCCUUUGACAACUCUAGAGAUAGAGCCUUCCCCUUCGGGGGACAAAGUGACAGGUGGUGCAUGGUUGUCGUCAGCUCGUGUCGUGAGAUGUUGGGUUAAGUCCCGCAACGAGCGCAACCCUUAAGCUUAGUUGCCAUCAUUAAGUUGGGCACUCUAAGUUGACUGCCGGUGACAAACCGGAGGAAGGUGGGGAUGACGUCAAAUCAUCAUGCCCCUUAUGAUUUGGGCUACACACGUGCUACAAUGGGCAAUACAAAGGGCAGCGAAACCGCGAGGUCAAGCAAAUCCCAUAAAGUUGUUCUCAGUUCGGAUUGUAGUCUGCAACUCGACUACAUGAAGCUGGAAUCGCUAGUAAUCGUAGAUCAGCAUGCUACGGUGAAUACGUUCCCGGGUCU
Molecule: ribosomal RNA, 1371 nt
Filed under: uncultured bacterium
Lineage: Bacteria
Description: bacterial SSU rRNA
Rfam family: Bacterial small subunit ribosomal RNA
Source: RNAcentral